AACCUCACACAGCCCAGACACAGACAGGGUUGACAGACUGAGAGCUCUUUCUCAAUUCCAUGGGUAGUGAUGCAUGGCUGUUCUUAGUUGGUGGAGUGAUUUAUCUCGUUAUUUGCGGUAACAAGCGAGACUCUGGCAUGCUAAUAGCCACAAGACCCCUGAGUGGUUGGCGUCCAACUUCUUAGAGGGACAAGUGGUAUUCAGCCACCUGAGAUUGAGCAAGAACAGGUCUGUGGUGCCCUUAAACGUCUGGG
Molecule: non-coding RNA, 254 nt
Filed under: Cuculus canorus (common cuckoo)
Lineage: Eukaryota; Metazoa; Chordata; Aves; Cuculiformes; Cuculidae
Description: Eukaryotic small subunit ribosomal RNA
Rfam family: Eukaryotic small subunit ribosomal RNA
Source: Rfam by way of RNAcentral